UCUUAAGGAAUGGCACCGGAGGAUGUC
Molecule: non-coding RNA, 27 nt
Filed under: Mus musculus (house mouse)
Lineage: Eukaryota; Metazoa; Chordata; Mammalia; Rodentia; Muridae
Source: RNAcentral